Molecule: small nuclear RNA, 106 nt
Filed under: Vombatus ursinus (common wombat)
Lineage: Eukaryota; Metazoa; Chordata; Mammalia; Diprotodontia; Vombatidae
Source: RNAcentral
GUGCUCACUUCAGCAGCACAUGUACCAAAAUUGGAAUGAGACAGAGAAGAUUAGCAUGGCCCUGCACAAGGGUAACAUGCAAAUUCAUGAAGUGUUCCAUAUCUUU